RNAcentral lists this ribosomal RNA (152 nucleotides) under Myxococcales bacterium. RNAcentral's name for it is "partial 23S ribosomal RNA". It matches the Rfam family "Bacterial large subunit ribosomal RNA", at positions 2777 to 2925 of the family's 2925-position model. Lineage: Bacteria; Pseudomonadati; Myxococcota; Myxococcia; Myxococcales. The record is from RNAcentral.
GCAUCUAAGCGGGAAGCGAGCCCUAAGAUGAGGUAUCCCUGGACUUCGGUCCCUAAAGGCCACUUGUAGACUACGAGUUUGAUAGGCUGGGUGUGGAAGUGUGGCAACACAUGUAGCUGACCAGUACUAAUCGGCCGUGAGGCUUGACCUAU